Molecule: ribosomal RNA, 450 nt
Filed under: Triticum aestivum (bread wheat)
Lineage: Eukaryota; Viridiplantae; Streptophyta; Magnoliopsida; Poales; Poaceae
Description: partial small subunit ribosomal RNA
Source: RNAcentral
AUGUCUGUCGAACUCGUCCUCUGGCUCUUCUCCUUCGCCUCUGUGAUGGCCCUCGUAGGCCUCACCGCCUACCAGCUUAUCUGCUUAUCUGAUUUGGAGUUUGACUAUAUCAAUCCAUAUGAUUCAUCAUCUCGCAUCAAUGCAGUGGUCAUAAUAGAAUACGCACUCCAAGGGGUCCUCUGCGCUUCUUUCCUCUUGACGCUGAAUUGGUUUCCGUUUCUAGUUAUGGCUCCUGUAACAUAUUACCAUGUGAAGCUGUAUAUGAAUCGGAAACAUCUUAUAGAUGUUACUGAGAUAUUCCGACAGUUACAUGGAGAGAAGAAGUACAGGAUGAUCAAGCUUGCCUUCUACUUUGCAUUAUUUAUUAUAUCCAUUUACAGGCUUGUCAUGACGGCUGUGCUACUAUUUAUUGAUGAGGAUGUGAAUCUGGUAGAAACUAGGACUAUUUAG